CAAGUCGAGCGCGAACGGUUCCUUCGGGGACCUAGUAGGGCGGCGAACGGGUGAGGAACGCGUGGGUAAUCUGCCCUUUGGUGGGGAACAACCACGGGAAACUGUGGCUAAUGCCGCAUGAGCUCCCGUUCUCCGCGGAGAACGGGAGGAAAGCAUGCCUCUGCUUCAAGCAUGCGCCAGAGGAGGAGCCCGCGUCCCAUUAGCUAGUUGGUGAGGUAACGGCUCACCAAGGCAACGAUGGGUAGCCGGCCUGAGAGGGUGAUCGGCCACACUGGGACUGAGACACGGCCCAGACUCCUACGGGAGGCAGCAGUGGGGAAUAUUGCGCAAUGGGCGAAAGCCUGACGCAGCGACGCCGCGUGCGGGAUGACGGCCUUCGGGUUGUAAACCGCUGUCGUACGGGACGAACCCCCGGCGGAUGAAUAAGCCGCCGGGCUGACGGUACCGUGCAAGAAAGCCCCGGCUAACUCCGUGCCAGCAGCCGCGGUAACACGGGGGGGGCAAACGUUGUUCGGAAUCACUGGGCGUAAAGGGUCCGUAGGCGGCCGCGUAAGUCGGAGGUGAAAGCCCUGGGCUUAACCCAGGAAUUGCCUUCGAAACUGCGCGGCUGGAGUCC
RNAcentral lists this ribosomal RNA (616 nucleotides) under uncultured bacterium. RNAcentral describes it as "bacterial SSU rRNA". It matches the Rfam family "Bacterial small subunit ribosomal RNA", at positions 58 to 649 of the family's 1533-position model. The record is from RNAcentral.